GGACCCGCACAAGCGGUGGAGCAUGUGGUUUAAUUCGAUGCAACGCGAAAAACCUUACCUACUCUUGACAUACUUGGAAGCUCUUGUAAUGAGAGUGUGCCUUUUGGAGCCAAGAUACAGGUGCUGCAUGGCUGUCGUCAGCUCGUGUCGUGAGAUGUUCCGUUAAGUCGGAUAACGAGCGCAACCCUUACCCUUAUUUGCCAGCGAUUCGGUCGGGAACUAUAAGGGGACUGCCGGUGAUAAACCGGAGGAAGGUGAGGACGACGUCAAGUCAUCAUGGCCCUUACGAGUAGGGCUACACACGUGCUACAAUGGGGAAUACAGACGGACGCUAAGCCGCGAGGUGGUGCUAAUCCCAGAAAGUUCGUCUCAGUCCGGAUUGGAGUCUGCAACUCGACUCCAUGAAGUUGGAAUCGCUAGUAAUCGCGGAUC
This 432-nucleotide ribosomal RNA is filed under the name uncultured bacterium. Its description in RNAcentral is "bacterial SSU rRNA". It matches the Rfam family "Bacterial small subunit ribosomal RNA", at positions 917 to 1350 of the family's 1533-position model. The record is from RNAcentral.